RNAcentral lists this ribosomal RNA (452 nucleotides) under uncultured bacterium. RNAcentral describes it as "partial 16S ribosomal RNA". It matches the Rfam family "Bacterial small subunit ribosomal RNA", at positions 28 to 507 of the family's 1533-position model. The record is from RNAcentral.
GAUGAACGCUGGCGGCGUGCCUAACACAUGCAGGUCGAGCGAUUUACUUCGGUAAAGAGCGGCGGACGGGUGAGUAACGCGUGGGUAACCUGCCCUGUACACACGGAUAACAUACCGAAAGGUAUGCUAAUACGAGAUAAUAUGCUUUUAUCGCAUGGUAGAAGUAUCAAAGCUUUUGCGGUACAGGAUGGACCCGCGUCUGAUUAGCUAGUUGGUGAGGUAACGGCUCACCAAGGCGACGAUCAGUAGCCGACCUGAGAGGGUGAUCGGCCACAUUGGAACUGAGACACGGUCCAAACUCCUACGGGAGGCAGCAGUGGGGAAUAUUGCACAAUGGGCGAAAGCCUGAUGCAGCAACGCCGCGUGAGCGAUGAAGGCCUUCGGGUCGUAAAGCUCUGUCCUCAAGGAAGAUAAUGACGGUACUUGAGGAGGAAGCCCCGGCUAACUACGUG